UGGUGCGUGGUCAUUCUCAGUCCCUUUGUCUCUGGCUGAAUAUAUGUACAUAUCUCCCUGUCUGUCUUGUGUUUGAGUUCCUGACCUGUCCCUGUGUGUCCUGUCCUGGUUCUUCCUGCCUGGCAUUUGGUCCGUCUCAGAGUCUGUUUGUCAACACGUUCCUGAGCUCUCCUCUAUGGUGCAUUAUGUGGUCUUCUCCAUCAGCCUGGUCUUGCUGCCCACUCUGUUGCCAAAAUAUUCUGCCAGUUGUUUCCUGAAGCUUUCCCAGUGGCCUUCCCUAGCUGUUCAUGUUUAUUGUGUUCCUCUUGUGGUAUCUUGUGCACUUCACUACCUCUUGUAUCAGUCUGACUUGUCAAUAAAACCUUUUUAUCUCACUGCAA
This is a long non-coding RNA of Carassius gibelio (silver crucian carp), 380 nucleotides long. RefSeq lists it as uncharacterized. The record is from RefSeq and is a predicted model, not a curated record. NCBI's taxonomy places the organism in Eukaryota, Metazoa, Chordata, Actinopteri, Cypriniformes, Cyprinidae. The transcript is spliced from 2 exons.